Molecule: ribosomal RNA, 471 nt
Filed under: uncultured bacterium
Lineage: Bacteria
Description: bacterial SSU rRNA
Rfam family: Bacterial small subunit ribosomal RNA
Source: RNAcentral
UGACAGUACUCCUACGGGAGCAGCAGUGGGAAUAUUGCACAAUGGGCGCAAGCCUGAUGCAGCCAUGCCGCGUGUGUGAAGAAGGCCUUCGGGUUGUAAAGCACUUUCAGUCGUGAGGAAGGCGGCGUCGUUAAUAGCGGCGUUGUUUGACGUUAGCGACAGAAGAAGCACCGGCUAACUCCGUGCCAGCAGCCGCGGUAAUACGGAGGGUGCGAGCGUUAAUCGGAAUUACUGGGCGUAAAGCGCAUGCAGGUGGUUUGUUAAGUCAGAUGUGAAAGCCCCGGGGCUUAACCUCGGAAUAGCAUUUGAAACUGGCAGACUAGAGUACUGUAGAGGGGGUAGAAUUUCAGGUGUAGCGGUGAAAUGCGUAGAGAUCUGAAGGAAUACCGGUGGCGAAGGCGGCCCCCUGGACAGAUACUGACACUCAGAUGCGAAAGCGUGGGGAGCAAACAGGAUUAGAUACCCUGGUAG